GCUCAGUGAUGAUAUAAAGGCUAAUGUGACUUGACCAGCUGGGUUGCACCCUCAGCCCAUUCCAGUAAUACAGGUCUGUAAUCUUGGUGGACAACGCUGAGCUGUGCGUGUUCGCUGUAAGGGCAGGCCAACAGAAAAUCCACUUCCCUGCAUCCCUGGAAGAUAUAUCUUUGGGAUGCAUCAGCUCCAUGCAAGUGUUUCUGUGAGCUGAUGUGGGGAUGUGGGGAUAGGAUAAGACAGUGCAUCCAAGGUUUGGGUUGCAGGGAGCAGCCCAUGUUACAGCUGGUGAGAUGUGAGCACACAUCUUUGGUAAUCUGAUGACU
Small nucleolar RNA from Athene cunicularia (burrowing owl), 323 nucleotides. Lineage: Eukaryota; Metazoa; Chordata; Aves; Strigiformes; Strigidae. The record is from Ensembl.